This 5579-nucleotide ribosomal RNA is filed under the name Triticum aestivum (bread wheat). RNAcentral describes it as "partial small subunit ribosomal RNA". The stretch from base 2315 to 2429 matches the Rfam family "MIR1120/MIR1122 microRNA precursor family". The record is from RNAcentral. Lineage: Eukaryota; Viridiplantae; Streptophyta; Magnoliopsida; Poales; Poaceae.
CCCAAUCCUCUUCGUCCUCGAGCCCCACGCCACACUUCUUCCCUCACGGCGCCGUCCAGCCUCCCCUGCUCCUCGACCAUCCGCCUCUCGCGCCGCCGCCUUCUAUUCCGUGCCUCUUCCCCGGCGCCUCGGAGGCGCUCGUCGCUGGACCCUCGCUGCCGGCCUCCUCAUCCUCUUUCUUCCUCGACGAUGUCGUGCUCCUCGCCCGCUGCACCCAGGCCGAACAGGCACCGGUGACACCGUGAGUAGGAGGAGCUCUUCCAGGAUGACGGCAGUCGGAGGAGGAUCCCGGGUCAAGGGCACCCCUGGCCCUGGGACUCGCUGUGAAGAAGCCACCGGACGAGAUGCUCGAGCUGGGCGACGGCCUCCUCUUGUCUGCCUGGGAGAGUCCUCGUUGUUUUGGAUGGGUUGCAACGGCCAGAUGACCAAGGCUGCAGAUGUGACCACCACCUGUUUGUAUAAAUGCUUAAGGAGGACUGCUCAGGGGAGGACAACAUGUAUGUUUGAAAGAGAGGGAUGUAAAAGAGGGGGCUGGAGUAAGAGGAGAAGAGGAAGGAAUGGAACCACUUGAUGUCUCUUUGUCAUCGACGCCAUCCCGCCAUUACGGAGAUUUUGUUGUGCUGAUGUUUCCGUUUCAUGCCAUUGUCCACGAGUUCUACUUGCUGCUUAUUUCCAAUUAAGUAUUUAGUUCCAUAAUGCUCUGGCCAACCUAUUUUAUUGCAACAUUUGUGGUUCUUUUGUGCCAGAUUAGGUGUUUGUAUUGUUUCCGAAGUUCUUAUGGCAUACUUUCUUAAGAUUUUUAUUUGUGACACUUGCAGAAGUGCGGUUCAACAUUAGUUAGUAAAAUGCCCAGUAAGUUACUAAGGUGUAAUGUAACUGCAAUCCUUGAAUGAAUUAAGGUUCGCCUUGUUAGCUAAAAGAUUUAUGGUUUGAUCCAGAUCAGAAAUUGCUUUCUUAUGUGCUGGCAAAACAUGAUAAGCAGGUAAUAAGCCCUCACUCCUUUGGGCAGAUAGUUGUUGGAUGUAUUGCCAUGUGACAGUAUGUAGUACUCCCUCUUUUUUAUUUGUGCCACAUGGCAAUACAUUUCCUGAAUCUUGUUAUUGCGAGCCCCAGUUUGCUCAUCUGAUGCAUACCCCAGAUGCAAGUCCAGAGUAGUUAUAUAGCAUUACAUGGCAAAUCGAUCUUUUCUUGUGGUUUAGUAGUUGCAGCUCUAUCGGCCAUAGAAGAAAGCAAUUGGAUUUUUUAAUCUGCACAUGUGGGAUUGCUGGGUGUAGAUAGGAUAAUAAGAUACCACUACAAACAAUGGCAAAAUACAUUUUACUUAGUAUCUUGCAUAAAUACGUACUCCCUCCGUUCCGAAUUACUUGUCGCAGGUAUGGAUGUAUCUAGAUGUAUUUUAGUUGUAGAUACAUCCAUUUCCGUGACGAGUAAUUAGGAACGGAGGGAGUACAUGUGUGUAUUAGACUUCUCUAGCUAACCUCGAGCAUUAAUUGUACAUCUUGGUAAAUGUACUUAGUUGCUUAGUUUACUGGCAGUUACGAAUAGUCAGAGCACAUACAUGCUUGGUUUUACUUAAGUUAGCAGCUGCCAUCCUGUAAUUACUAAGAACUGAUAUGUGGAAAUUAGACCUGAAGAAAGUGUGCCUCCCUGUUUUCCGGAGAGAAUUACUUCUGGUUACAUACUAUGGCCAAAUUAAGUAGGCUUAUAUAAUAAGCUUUUUCAUAUUUUUUUCUUAUAGAAACUGAACUGUUAUUUUGUUAAUAUAUCAUAGUCAUUCUUAAAGACCCUAUGGCUGGUUGCCAAACAUGUGCAAUAAUUACUUGCUGAAGCACAUGUCCUAAUUUAUCAUGGGUUUUGUUGGCGCUUUCAUAUCCAGCAUGAUUAAUCAAGGUUAUUACAAAAAACUUGCAGGUUUAGUCAACCAAGGGAGUGCAGUUGCAACGCUGGAAAACUUGCAAGGCACAGAAGGAAGAUCCAUCAACUAUGUAGUUCAAUAGGUAAAUCAAUUUCACACUGGUGAGAACUCCAAAACUUUGCUUUCCCCUUGACACAACUUCGAUUUUGCUUCUCCUAUUUAUCUCAUGUUGUGCUUUUUAUUUUUUUACUUUUACCCUCUAUAUCCAAAUUCAGUAGCGUACCAAAUUGGAAUAACAUUCCUUCACUCGUGGUCGUACCGUAAUGUUUGCCUUUCCCAGUCAGCAAGAACCAUCUAGCACUAAUGCUUGUUCUUACAUUUGGUGGCACUGCUUCAGUGGAUGUCAUGAUAUAAUCCAUUUUAAGUGCAGCUCACUACAAAUUAGAAAGUGUUUGAUCUUACAUACUCCCUCCGUUCGGAAUUACUUGUCCAAGAAAUGAAUGUAUCUAUAUGUAUUUUAGUUGUAGAUACAUCCAUUUUUGUGACAAGUAAUUCCGAACGGAGGGAGUAUAUUUUUAAUUGCAACACCGUCAGUUCCAACCAUGGACAUGUCAUCAGGGUAACCGACUGCUAGGUCCCAGUGUUUUCGAUAUACUGGUUACUUUUCGUUGACGAAGGGACUGAUAGCUAACCCGUGCUAUUUUCUGAACAUCAUAUGUGGAAAUAAAUUUAUGUGACAAGUCAGUAUCUUUGUGAGAUAGGAAAAACAGAUGCCCAUAAUCUUUACUUCUUGCUAUAAAAUAAAAAAAUCUGCAAUAAAUUAAAUAGUCAGCGUAGAAAGUUGGCUGGGAACUCCUAAAAUUACUUUGCAGUGAGAAUGAUUAUAGGGAUAGGAUAAAAGAAGGAAAACAUGAACCCAACCUACAUAAGAAAUCAACAUUUUCAGUUAUCUUGUGACUGUUGCUAAAAUAGUUCACCUGAUUCCAGUUCUAAAUAUAACUAUAACUCAUAGUUGAGCUAAAGUUGUACCCACUAAGUCUGGUGAUAGGGCUCGGGCGACCUAGCCGCCGCCGCCCCCACUCCCCUUUACUCCCUCGCUCCACCCGCCACCGCCGGAGGAGGCCGACGAGCAAAGCCCACUCGGUGGAUGGCGGUGGUGGGGCACCCUCGUCGCGCGCCGCAAGUCUUCGGCCCUGGACGAAGGCCUGCAUCCGGCGGCGGCUGCGUCUGGCCAGGCGCGGGCAAGCCGGGGUGGCGGCCCCGGGCUCGGCGGCGGCGCUGUUUCCUCCUCUCCCUCGUCGGGAGAGUGGGGGGCGGCGCUGAGGCUGGCCAUCGUCGAUCUGGUGCGGCGCAUCUGGUGGUGUGCGGCGUGCCUGUGGGUUCGGCCGUGAGGACGGCGAGCCGUAGGCGUGCCAGAUCUGGAGGUAUUGCCCCUCUCCCUUCCAUGCAUCCCUUCCCAGUCCCCGGUUCGUUUUGGAUCUUGCCGGAUCCACCUCCGGUGUGUUCUGAUGGAGCAGAUCGGUGUCCGGGGGAAACCUUGGCUGCCUUAGGCUGACCGGCAGCGGCGACGCCGAUUUUUGGCGCCGCUUUCCUCCUUGGGGGCGUUGCUGAGGGCACCAUCUCUCCUCUCCAACCCAUGUCCGGGUGAAAGCCCAAGAUCCGAUGCGGAUCGGGCGUCGGCGGCGCCCUGUGCACCGUAACCUUCCUGGAGGCGACGCCAAGGACAUUGGGAUCGGAUGGAAGGGUCUGCAGGUGAGGGGUGGGGGUGUGCUGCCUCCCUUCGGUGGAGCGGUGUUUCGUUCUACGUAUUCUUGGCGGCGGCUCUUGGCGGCAUGGAGCAGCGGAGGCUUGGCGUCAGAUGUGUGGUGACGGACACGCGCAGGAGGUCGACGCUGUCUGGCGUCGUGGUGGCGUCGGCGGCAGCGAGACCGGGCAAGGCCGUUACAACAGUACAGCUUUGAAGAUGGAUAUGUGGUAGGUGGUUGUGGCGGCCUCAUACCCGGCGGGCGGCCUGGUUGAGGAGCACGCCGGACUGGUGGGUGCCCAUACCCGACAGGCGUCCAGGUUGGGACCUCAGGUCUUAGAUGUUAGGUUUGGCUGCGAGGUCUGUUUGGUAUUAGGCCCAGACCAUCAGCGCCCCUUCAUCAGUUAGAUAGGAGUAGCGACAGAGGUUGCGAAGAUGGUGACUUUGGUCUUACUGUUGUACGACUUUGUAAGGUUUUGUGCUAAUAAUUAAUAAAGUGGCCGUAUGCAUCGACCAGAUGCAGAGGCCGGGGGUAUUCCUCCUUUUCGAAAAAAAAACUAAGUUUGGUGAUAUGCUUUAUAUUGUGAGACUAACAGAGUAUUUGUUUGCCUUUGGAAACUACUUGAUGCUACGGGGUCCUAUAAACAGACGUAUAAAUGUAUUUAUAAUUCUGUUGGUGACAGCAGUCUGAAGGAAGAAAUCUGAACCAUGAAUAUGCUCUACAUGCAUUACCAUAGCAGUGGAUAAAUUAUGCACAAAUGGUUACUCUCAAGAAAUCUUCAAUUUUAGUACUUAAUGUUGCACCAUGAGAGAUAAGUAGGCGAAGAUGACCACUGAGUCUUGCCUUGACCUAGAGCAAGCAAAUGCAACUAUUUCUUUUAGCAAGAUAUAGACACUGAGUACAACUGUGACUGAUAUUUCAUAUAUUGUUCUAAUAUUUUAUAUAUUGUUCUGAAAGUAAUUUUCUACGGGUUCUUAGUUAUGAACACAAUACCUUGUGAAAAGCCAGCAUGUCAGCGAAAGGUGAAGCAAUUUCUUGUGUGUAGCCUGCUCAAAUAUGCAUUUAACAUAAUCGAACUUACUAUCAUGUAUCGAAUGUCUAGCAUUGAAAUCAUAGAUCCAUCGUGCACAACUUGAAUUGUGUCUUUUGUAUUAUUACCAUAUGGCAGUACCUUUGUUGUGCCUCUAAUUAGAUUGCAAAUCCGAGGAUUUUUGUCGAUCUAGCAUUACUAUCAAAUAAAAUAAUGUGGCUUUGUGGGUUAAGACUGAUACUGAUACUUCACUUUAGUUGCUAAAAUAUGUACCUCAAUGUUUUACUACUUGUGCGAGGGUGAACAUGUAAACUGUGAUGGUUUCUAAAGUAGCUUAUGUAGCUCUCCAUUAUGAAAUUUUUCAUCAUUCUAAUUUAUAAAGAAAUAUUUGCUCGUGUUUAUCUAUUUUGUUUGAUGCAACUCUCAUCUAGAAACUAGAAUAUGAAACUGUUAUUAUCUAUCAGGUGAGGAACUCAUGGGCUUGUAAUAGGAAAAAAUAAUUGCAAGUAUAGUUUCAGGAAAUGAAUGUGUCUAAUAUAACGGCCAAAGAAGGCAUGAGGCUAUAAUAUCAUUUUUGUUCGCAUUUCUUUCAGGAAGUCACAGCUAGGGGUGGUGGGCGGACAUAACCGCAUGUUAGCCUUUUAUGUUUUUCUGGAUUAAGUGUGAGCUAGCGUUAGAUUCUUUUCCUGGUACAUAAUUGAUAUGUACAGUUCCACACAAUCAUGAUCACCAUACAACAGUCUGAUUAGAACCCAUCUGAUUGACACUGAAGCAUGUAAUGGGCUAUCUGUAGUGUAUCUCAUUUUUUUUAAUGCGGCAUUUCCUGUAUGUAUAUGCUAAAAUCGAGUUUUUUGUCAAUCUCUACGUUGUCUGAGUUUCCAAUUUUUUUUCUUGCUCCGUCCUUCAAAAAAUUGUGGUUGUUACCAAUACCAAACUUUGUUAUCUUCAC